AACGUAGGAGGCGAGCGUUAUCCGGAGUGACUGGGCGUAAAGCGCGUGUAGGCGGUCAGGCAAGCUGGGUGUGAAAGCGCCAGGCUCAACCUGGCGAGGCCAUCCAGGAAUGCGUGGCUGGAGGCCGGUAGAGGAGUGCGGAAUUCCGGGUGUAGCGGUGAAAUGUGUAGAGAUCCGGAGGAACACCAGUGGUGCAGACGGCGCUCUGGGCCGGACCUGACGCUGAGACGCGGAAGCGCGGGGAGCGAACGGG
RNAcentral lists this ribosomal RNA (253 nucleotides) under uncultured bacterium. Its description in RNAcentral is "partial 16S ribosomal RNA". It matches the Rfam family "Bacterial small subunit ribosomal RNA", at positions 524 to 776 of the family's 1533-position model. The record is from RNAcentral.